CCUACGGGUGGCAGCAGUGGGGAAUAUUGGACAAUGGGCGAAAGCCUGAUCCAGCCAUGCCGCGUGUGUGAAGAAGGCCUUCGGGUUGUAAAGCACUUUCAGUGGGGAAGAAAGCCUUGGGGCUAAUACCCUCGAGGAAGGACAUCACCCACAGAAGAAGCACUGGCUAACUCCGUGCCAGCAGCCGCGGUAAUACGGAGGGUGCGAGCGUUAAUCGGAAUUACUGGGCGUAAAGCGCGCGUAGGCGGUCUGAUAAGCCGGUUGUGAAAGCCCCGGGCUCAACCUGGGAACGGCAUCCGGAACUGUCAGGCUAGAGUGCAGGAGAGGAAGGUAGAAUUCCCGGUGUAGCGGUGAAAUGCGUAGAGAUCGGGAGGAAUACCAGUGGCGAAGGCGGCCUUCUGGACUGACACUGACGCUGAGGUGCGAAAGCGUGGGUAGCAAACAGGAUUAGAUACCCGAGUAGUC
This 465-nucleotide ribosomal RNA is filed under the name Vreelandella stevensii. RNAcentral's name for it is "partial 16S ribosomal RNA". It matches the Rfam family "Bacterial small subunit ribosomal RNA", at positions 338 to 795 of the family's 1533-position model. The record is from RNAcentral. Lineage: Bacteria; Pseudomonadati; Pseudomonadota; Gammaproteobacteria; Oceanospirillales; Halomonadaceae.